Molecule: non-coding RNA, 1277 nt
Organism: Saimiri boliviensis boliviensis (Bolivian squirrel monkey)
Lineage: Eukaryota; Metazoa; Chordata; Mammalia; Primates; Cebidae
Source: RefSeq, a predicted model, not a curated record
CUUCUCUGCUUUUUGAGACAUUAAGAAAGGUUCUCAGGAAAUGUGUCUAAGAUAAUUUUGAGAAACUGAGUGAAACCAGUGUCUCUCCAGGAUCUUUGUGCUUUCCUCACAUACCCUUUCUUGGUGGUCUCGACAGGAUGAGGUGGGGUCCACUCAUGAGCUGGUCCAGAGUCUGAUCUCCACCAACUCCAUCAUUGAUACCAAGAUGGCUUCAAGUCAAGUGACGCUGUUUUCUGAUUCCAAGCCACUUGGGUUAGAGGAUAUAGAAUAGAUAAUCAAGGGCUGUUGAUGCCAAAGGAAGAAAAACAAAUGGGCUUGAAACUGAUCGAAUGUAUCAGAAAGCCAUUUUUGCAGAUGAAGAUGGAUAUGGAGAUAGUGGUGAUGAAGAAGAUGAAAUUUCUGAAGAUGACAGAUUGGAAACCGUCUCUAGUGAUCAGGAAGCAGAAGAGGAGGAAAAUUCUGAGGUGACUGGUCAGUAUAUGACCUGCUAAGAGCAUCAAACGGGGAAACUUGAGGAGUUUGAAGAAGCCAGUGAAGUAGAUUUGCCAGCAUUUGCUGUCCGUGACAAUGAGCUUGAGGGGAGCUCAGCAGAAGGGGAAGUGGAAUAAGCUGGGGAAAGCAGUGAGGAAGAGGAUGGUACUGCAGGAGAGAGGGGCAUUUCAGGAUCAAGGACUGUUGGAGAAGGUAGUAAAGCAGAGCUGUCACCAGCUAAUCCCUGGAGUGACCCUGUAAAUCUGGAGAAGUCUUUGUCGAUGAAGAAAGCAGCCCUCACCUCUUCAUUUCUGGGCAUUGCACAGCUGACGAGGCAUUUGCAUCUGAAGAGGAAUCUGAAGAAAGCUCUUCGCUCAGUGCAGAGGAAGAGGACUUGGAAAAUGAGGACCCUUUUAGGAAAAAGGUUUCAGAGCCUUCUCAAGUGGGCAGUGGUCAGAAACUGGGGUGAAGAAAAUUAAUUAAUGAGACCAGUGAUAUAGAAGAUUUACUCGAAGAAGAUUGCAAGGAAGAGAAGAAUGAUUCCACAGAAGCCUCAGAUGCCCUCACGUUGAAGGAAGACCUUUCCAGAAAGGCAGCUGAGGCCUUUCUGAGGCAGCAACAAGCAACUCCAAACCUCCAAAAGCUUAUUUAUGGGACAGUGACACAAGAUAAUGAAGAAGAUUAUGAUACCUGAGAAGAGCUUGGAGGGUUGUUUCAUGUCAGCCAGCCUGACAGAGCGUGUAAGCACAAGGCUGACUCUUUGGACUGCUUCAGAUUUCUUGUGGAGUUGCCCCAUGACUGGGAUU